CGAACCGACUUACGUUGAAAAGUGAGCGGAUGAACUGAGGGUAGCGGAGAAAUUCCAAUCGAACCUGGAGAUAGCUGGUUCUCUCCGAAAUAGCUUUAGGGCUAGCCUCAAGUGAUGAUUAUUGGAGGUAGAGCACUGUUUGGACGAGGGGCCCCUCUCGGGUUACCGAAUUCAGACAAACUCCGAAUGCCAAUUAAUUUAACUUGGGAGUCAGAACAUGGGUGAUAAGGUCCGUGUUCGAAAGGGAAACAGCCCAGACCACCAGCUAAGGUCCCAAAAUAUAUGUUAAGUGGAAAAGGAUGUGGCGUUGCCCAGACAACUAGGAUGUUGGCUUAGAAGCAGCCAUCAUUUAAAGAGUGCGUAAUAGCUCACUAGUCGAGUGACACUGCGCCGAAAAUGUACCGGGGCUAAACAUAUUACCGAAGCUGUGGAUUGUCCUUUGGACAAUGGUAGGAGAGCGUUCUAAGGGCGUUGAAGCAUGAUCGUAAGGACAUGUGGAGCGCUUAGAAGUGAGAAUGCCGGUGUGAGUAGCGAAAGACGGGUGAGAAUCCCGUCCACCGAUUGACUAAGGUUUCCAGAGGAAGGCUCGUCCGCUCUGGGUUAGUCGGGUCCUAAGCUGAGGCCGACAGGCGUAGGCGAUGGAUAACAGGUUGAUAUUCCUGUACCACCUAUAAUCGUUUUAAUCGAUGGGGGGACGCAGUAGGAUAGGCGAAGCGUGCGAUUGGAUUGCACGUCUAAGCAGUAAGGCUGAGUAUUAGGCAAAUCCGGUACUCGUUAAGGCUGA
This 784-nucleotide ribosomal RNA is filed under the name Staphylococcus aureus. RNAcentral describes it as "partial 23S ribosomal RNA". It matches the Rfam family "Bacterial large subunit ribosomal RNA", at positions 775 to 1559 of the family's 2925-position model. The record is from RNAcentral. Lineage: Bacteria; Bacillati; Bacillota; Bacilli; Caryophanales; Staphylococcaceae.